This 235-nucleotide long non-coding RNA is filed under the name Mytilus galloprovincialis (Mediterranean mussel). Lineage: Eukaryota; Metazoa; Mollusca; Bivalvia; Mytilida; Mytilidae. The record is from RNAcentral.
GUUCUUGUCAUUUUAUUUUUACAACUGAUUAAUGGGAAACAACUAAGAGGUGUAUGCUAUUUCUUCAUUAGUGAAGGGCUGAAGAUCAAAGGACUUAACAAUAUCUACUCAAAAUUAGAAGGAGUGCAUGUCUCGUUUUUAUUCUUUCCGUUUUCCACGUAACUGUCUUAUUUUUUACUCUUGCAUUAAAAUAUCAAAUUAUUUGUCAUUUUAAAGUUAUAUUUAGAGGGGCGUU